RNAcentral lists this ribosomal RNA (253 nucleotides) under uncultured bacterium. RNAcentral's name for it is "partial 16S ribosomal RNA". It matches the Rfam family "Bacterial small subunit ribosomal RNA", at positions 524 to 776 of the family's 1533-position model. The record is from RNAcentral.
UACGAAGGGGGCUAGCGUUGCUCGGAAUCACUGGGCGUAAAGGGCGCGUAGGCGGCCAUUCAAGUCGGAGGUGAAAGCCCAGGGCUCAACCCUGGAAUUGCCUUCGAUACUGUUUGGCUAGAGACCGGAAGAGGUAAGUGGAACUGCGAGUGUAGAGGUGAAAUUCGUAGAUAUUCGCAAGAACACCAGUGGCGAAGGCGGCCAACUGGUCCGGUACUGACGCUGAGGUGCGAAAGCGUGGGGAGCAAACAGG